This 301-nucleotide ribosomal RNA is filed under the name uncultured bacterium. RNAcentral's name for it is "partial 16S ribosomal RNA". It matches the Rfam family "Bacterial small subunit ribosomal RNA", at positions 509 to 809 of the family's 1533-position model. The record is from RNAcentral.
CAGUCGCCGCGGUAAUGCGUAGGGUGCAAGCGUUAAUCGGAAUUACUGGGCGUAAAGCGUGCGCAGGCGGUUCGUUAAGACAGAUGUGAAAUCCCCGGGCUUAACCUGGGAACUGCAUUUGAUACGUGUUGUCUAGAGUGAGGAAGAGGGUUGUGGAAUUCCCAGUGUAGAGGUGAAAUUCGUAGAUAUUGGGAAGAACACCGGUGGCGAAGGCGGCAACCUGGUCCUUUACUGACGCUGAGGCGCGAAAGCGUGGGGAGCAAACAGGAUUAGAUACCCGCGUAGUCCCUGUCUCUUAUAA